Molecule: ribosomal RNA, 441 nt
Filed under: uncultured bacterium
Lineage: Bacteria
Description: partial 16S ribosomal RNA
Rfam family: Bacterial small subunit ribosomal RNA
Source: RNAcentral
CCUACGGGAGGCAGCAGUGAGGGAUAUUGCACAAUGGGGGGAACCCUGAUGCAGCGACGCCGCGUGGGUGAAGGAGUGCUUCGGCAUGUAAAGCCCUAUCGGCAGGGAAGAAGCAAGACGGUACCUGACUAAUAAGCCCCGGCUAACUACGUGCGAGCAGCCGCGGUAAUACGUAGGGGGCGAGCGUUAUCCGGAUUCACUGGGUGUAAAGGGAGCGUAGACGGGCAUGCAAGCCAGGGGUGAAAGCCCGGGGCCCAACCCCGGGACUGCCCUUGGAACUGCAUGGCUGGAGGGCGGGAGGGGCAGGCGGAAUUCCGGGUGUAGCGGUGAAAUGCGUAGAUAGCAGGAGGAACACCGGCGGCGAAGGCGGCCUGCUGGACCGCGACUGACGUUGAGGCUCGAAAGCGUGGGGAGCGAACAGGAUUAGAUACCCUUGUAGUC